GAUGAACGCUGGCGGCGUGCCUAAUACAUGCAAGUCGAGCGGACGGACGAGACGCUUGCUUCUCUGAUGUUAGCGGCGGACGGGUGAGUAACACGUGGAUCACCUACCUAUAAGACUGGGAUAACUUCGGGAAACCGUAGCUAAUACCGGAUAAUAUUUUGCACCGCAUGGUUCAAAAGUGAAAGACGGUCUUGCUGUCACUUCUCGAUGGAUCCGCGCUGCGUGAGCUAGUUGGUAAGGUAACGGCUUACCACGGCGACGCUGCAUAGCCGACCUGAGGGCGGGAAGGGCGACACUGGAGCUGAGAGGCGGCCCAGACACCGACGGGAGGCAGCGGUAGGUAAGGUAGCGCACUGGGCGAAAGACUGACGGAGCAACGGCGCCUGGGUGAUGAAGGGCUGCGUAUGGUAAAACGCUGUUCUUAGGGAAGAACACUUGUGCAAGUAACUGUGCGCAUCUUGACGGUACCUAAUCAGAGAGCCACGGCUAACUACGG
RNAcentral lists this ribosomal RNA (496 nucleotides) under uncultured bacterium. RNAcentral describes it as "partial 16S ribosomal RNA". It matches the Rfam family "Bacterial small subunit ribosomal RNA", at positions 28 to 506 of the family's 1533-position model. The record is from RNAcentral.